UACGAAGGGGGCUAGCGUUGCUCGGAAUUACUGGGCGUAAAGGGCGCGUAGGCGGACAUUUAAGUUAGAGGUGAAAGCCCAGGGCUCAACCCUGGAAUAGCCUUUAAUACUGGAUGUCUUGAGUUCGGGAGAGGUGAGUGGAAUGCCGAGUGUAGAGGUGAAAUUCGUAGAUAUUCGGCGGAACACCAGUGGCGAAGGCGACUCACUGGCCCGAUACUGACGCUGAGGCGCGAAAGCGUGGGGAGCGAACAGG
RNAcentral lists this ribosomal RNA (253 nucleotides) under uncultured bacterium. Its description in RNAcentral is "partial 16S ribosomal RNA". It matches the Rfam family "Bacterial small subunit ribosomal RNA", at positions 524 to 776 of the family's 1533-position model. The record is from RNAcentral.